RNAcentral lists this long non-coding RNA (1459 nucleotides) under Coturnix japonica (Japanese quail). RNAcentral's name for it is "lncRNA (ENSCJPG00005013289.1)". The record is from RNAcentral. Lineage: Eukaryota; Metazoa; Chordata; Aves; Galliformes; Phasianidae.
AGAAGUGAUGUUAAGGAAAAACAUUUGAUAUUGUAUUCAGUGCACUCGUUGAGAAUUUCUUUAUCCUUGUUAUUUUCAUUGUUGAUCACCGUCAAUGCCCUUUUAAGCUGCUCAUUAUCUUUUCUGCAAAGUGGAAUUAAUUUUUCCUUUUGUUCCCUGAGUGUUAGGGAUUUACCUUACUUUAUUAUACAUGUUCCUUCUGCAGGUGGUGUACCAGGUAGUACCUACCUUACAGUAGGUACUUGUAAUCUGCCUUCCAAGGCUUUUGUGUACCUUCCUGUUAAAUGUUACUUGGAAUCAACAAAUGAAGCUGGAUGCAACUCCAUCCUUUUAUGCAGUUAUUAUCUCCACAGGCCAGAUUGUACGUGUCUCCCAGCAUACUCCUUACAGCAGUUUCCAUCACCCAUGAGCCCCUUGUUAUCACCGGUGUGCCUGCAUACCCACAUAUGUUCAAAAUGAAGCUACUGACUGCCAGCUCUGGGGAAAUAUUCAAAGGAGAAAAGAGCAGCUAACUAUAUAACUCCCACUGAGAGUCAGAAUGGGUGAGAACUUAGAAUACCAUAUCAUUAUGUAAGAGCAGUAAAAGAGCAAACGUCCAAACUACUUCCUGGGCUCCUGAGUUCUGAAUUAUUGCAAUGAGAUAUAAAACUCAGAAUGAGACAAAUGAAGAGAUGAGAAUCAUGUAUAAGCUUUUAUCUCCAGUUGGCUUCAGGAGGAGAUGCACAUGCCACGUAUAACAGCAGGCUGUGGGCCAUCCAGAUGUGAGAGUAGAGAAUUGAAGGAUCCGUCAGUGUGUUAUGACUCACAGGAAAUGGCACUUUGAAUGAUCUCCUUGCAGUUCAGCAUUGUGUGAGGACUGAACGGACGUGAAUCUACGGUUUGUUGGGAAUCAUUGUCAGAAAGUAAAGAAAGCCACACAGGUAGGCACUCAGGCAUUCUAGAAGCACUUACUUUCAUUUGUUAACAUUGGUUUUUAUUAGUUUCCAAGUUGCUUGGAAAUUUUCUUUGCAUUAUUUAUAUCUUAAGGAAGCAAGGACUGUUACUAGGAUUGAUUUACAUAGAAAAAGGUCCCCCAGAUGAGCAUCAGGCCUUGUGAAGUGUGUCCCAUGUCACAUCAUUCUGCUUUAUAAAUCAGAAUGUCUGUUUUCUCAACUUGCUAGAAUUAAAUCAUCGGGCUAUAUGGGCAGUGGUCAUUUGGACUGUGGUGAUUUCAGUAUCAGCUUCUCAUGAACACUAGAAUAGCAAAUCAGCGCAAAACACUCAGCUGCAUUCUAAGAGGGACUGACAGAAAACUCACUGCCAGGGAAAGAUAAAGUGAUAUCAUAGCCUAAAAGGAAAGAAAUCCCAUGUUGUCAGUUGGCACAGCUUUAUAAACUUCACAGGAGUUUAUGAGAACACCAGUCAUCUUCUUACCAAGCACAUAGCCUAUCUAAGGUUAUCUGUAUCCUGCAGUCUUUGA